This 215-nucleotide non-coding RNA is filed under the name Williamsia sp. Lineage: Bacteria; Bacillati; Actinomycetota; Actinomycetes; Mycobacteriales; Nocardiaceae. The record is from RNAcentral.
UUAGGUUGACCGGGCGUUGGUUUCCGUCGGUCAGUGACCGGCGGAUCGUAAGAGGGAAUCCGGUGAAGAUCCGGAACUGCCCCGCAGCGGUGAGUGGAAACGAACGCGGUCACCAGCACUGGGUGUAUGCCUGGGAAGCGACCGCCGGUAGGAGACACCGAACGUACGGUGCCAUGUCCACGAGUCCGAAGACCUGCCAACGCGACCGCGCCGCC